UCUUAAGUAGCUUAAUAAUAAAGCGUUACAUUGAAGCCGUAAAUAUGAGUCAUCUCCUUAAGUG
RNAcentral lists this transfer RNA (64 nucleotides) under Paraleonnates uschakovi. RNAcentral describes it as "tRNA-Phe". It matches the Rfam family "tRNA". Rfam says of the family: Transfer RNA (tRNA) molecules are approximately 80 nucleotides in length. Their secondary structure includes four short double-helical elements and three loops (D, anti-codon, and T loops). The record is from RNAcentral. Lineage: Eukaryota; Metazoa; Annelida; Polychaeta; Phyllodocida; Nereididae.